CAGGUUCAACCGAUUGUAGAAGAUCUCAAGAAAGAAGUGAAUGACUUGAACAUAAAACAGGCAUCAGACGUGAAAUACACACAGCAAUUGAAAACGGAAAUUGCCGAGCAGACAUCGAGUCAGGCCGAGUUGAAGGUGCUGAUCGCAAACAACGUUGAAGAAUCGGAGA
Molecule: long non-coding RNA, 169 nt
Organism: Xenia sp. Carnegie-2017
Lineage: Eukaryota; Metazoa; Cnidaria; Anthozoa; Malacalcyonacea; Xeniidae
Exons: 3
Source: RefSeq, a predicted model, not a curated record